RNAcentral lists this transfer RNA (63 nucleotides) under Agria mihalyii. RNAcentral's name for it is "tRNA-Cys". The record is from RNAcentral. Lineage: Eukaryota; Metazoa; Arthropoda; Insecta; Diptera; Sarcophagidae.
GGCCUUAUAGUCAAUAAUGACAUUAGACUGCAAUUCUAAAGGAGUGAAAAAUUACUAAGGCUU